GAAACAGGUUAAUAUUCCUGUACUUGGUGUUACUGCGAAGGGGGGACGGAGAAGGCUAUGUCAGCCGGGCGACGGUUGUCCCGGUUUAAGCAUGUAGGCGGAGGUUCCAGGUAAAUCCGGUACCUUGUUAACGCUGAGGUGUGAUGACGAGGCACUACGGUGCUGAAGUGAUAAAUGCCCUGCUUCCAGGAAAAGCCUCUAAGCAUCAGGUAACACGAAAUCGUACCCCAAACCGACACAGGUGGUCAGGUAG
RNAcentral lists this ribosomal RNA (253 nucleotides) under Enterobacter hormaechei. RNAcentral's name for it is "partial 23S ribosomal RNA". It matches the Rfam family "Bacterial large subunit ribosomal RNA", at positions 1422 to 1674 of the family's 2925-position model. The record is from RNAcentral. Lineage: Bacteria; Pseudomonadati; Pseudomonadota; Gammaproteobacteria; Enterobacterales; Enterobacteriaceae.